Non-coding RNA from Salvelinus sp. IW2-2015, 209 nucleotides. The record is from RefSeq and is a predicted model, not a curated record. Lineage: Eukaryota; Metazoa; Chordata; Actinopteri; Salmoniformes; Salmonidae.
CUCCAGGAACAGGGUUGGAGUUAACCUACAGGACGGUAUCUCUCCAGGAACAGGGUUGGAGAGCCCUGGAUCAGAUCCACUUAUCUGUCCCUAACCCUGUGGGACUUGUUAGGAAGAAUCAGCUGUUUUCUAUCUCCUUAAAUUAACACACCUGCCGUGAACCCGUAGACUAGUUUGUUAAAUAAAAUGAAUGAAAUUGUAAAGACAAA